RNAcentral lists this long non-coding RNA (249 nucleotides) under Callithrix jacchus (white-tufted-ear marmoset). RNAcentral describes it as "lncRNA (ENSCJAG00000054334.2)". Lineage: Eukaryota; Metazoa; Chordata; Mammalia; Primates; Cebidae. The record is from RNAcentral.
AGAGACAAGGUUUCACCAUGUUGCCGGAGUUGAUCUUGAACUCCUGGGCUUAAGCCGCCUCAACUUCUCAAGGUUUUGGAAUUACAGGUGUGAGCCCCUGUGCCUGGCCUGAAGGUUCCUGGUGGGAAGAGUCACAUCUAAUCUCAAGAAGCUUUUCUUUUGUAGGAUGCUACAUCAUUCUCAGAUGGGUAUGUUUUCCUCAUUUGACUAGCUACUAAUUGUGUCCAUUCUUCUAACCAAUUGCUGAAC